AUGGAGAAGGGGGCGUCGGAGUCGUCGCCGCUCGACUGCGCUCGCUGCGGCAAGCCCGCGUCUCUCCAAUGCCCCAAGUGCGCUCAACUGAAGCUCCCCCGUGAAGCUGCUGCUUUCUGUUCGCAGGAUUGUUUCAAGGCAGCAUGGGCCUCUCACAAGUCUGUUCACACAAAGGUAGAUGCACUGACAUCCCAGCUGUCUCAAGAAGGCUGGAAAUAUUGUUUGAAAAAAGGGCGGACCCGGACACUGGAGCUUCCUCGUUUUGAUUGGACAGGUCCAUUGAGACCAUUUCCUAUAUCAAAGAUGCGUUUGGUGCCAGACGGAAUCGAGAAACCUGAUUGGGCGCUUGAUGGAAUCCUCAAGAUCGAGCCGGACAGUGAUUUGCAGAAAAGAGUAGAGAUCAAGACCCCUGAGCAAAUUGAAAGGAUGAGGGAAACAUGCCGAAUUGCAAGAGAAGUUUUAGAUGCAGGCGCUCGUAUAAUCAAGCCAGGAAUUACAACAGAUGAAAUUGAUAGAGUGAUUCAUGAGGAGACAAUUGCCAGAGGUGGAUACCCGUCCCCGUUGAAUUACCAUUUCUUCCCGAAGUCAUGCUGCACGUCAGUUAAUGAAGUCAUUUGCCAUGGAAUUCCAGAUGCCAGAAAACUUGAAGAUGGUGACAUUGUAAACAUUGACGUUACUGUAUACUAUAAAGGUGUUCAUGGUGAUUUGAAUGAUACAUAUUUUGUUGGAAAUGUUGAUGAAGCUUCGAAACAGCUUGUCCGUUGUACCUAUGAGUGCUUGGAGAAAGCUAUCGCAAUAGUUAAACCUGGAGUUAGGUUUCGGGAAGUUGGAGAAGUCAUAAGUAGACAUGCAUCGAUGUCAGGUUUAUCUGUGGUGAAAUCUUAUUGUGGUCAUGGCAUAGGAGAAUUGUUCCACUGUGCCCCGAACAUCCCUCAUUAUUCAAGAAACAAGGCUGUUGGUAUCAUGAAAGCUGGUCAGACAUUUACAAUUGAGCCAAUGAUUAACACAGGACUUUGGCGUGACUGUCUAUGGCCUGACGAGUGGACUGCAGUGACUGCAGAUGGUAAACGGAGUGCUCAAUUUGAGCACACCCUUUUGGUGACGGAAACCGGAGUUGAAGUUUUGACAGCAAGGCUGCCCUCAUCACCGGACGUCUACCCAUGGUUGAAGCCGGCGUCAGCAAAUAGCAAGUGA
RNAcentral lists this ribosomal RNA (1194 nucleotides) under Triticum aestivum (bread wheat). RNAcentral describes it as "partial small subunit ribosomal RNA". The record is from RNAcentral. Lineage: Eukaryota; Viridiplantae; Streptophyta; Magnoliopsida; Poales; Poaceae.